Long non-coding RNA from Ictidomys tridecemlineatus (thirteen-lined ground squirrel), 6948 nucleotides. RefSeq lists it as uncharacterized. NCBI's taxonomy places the organism in Eukaryota, Metazoa, Chordata, Mammalia, Rodentia, Sciuridae. The record is from RefSeq and is a predicted model, not a curated record.
UCUGAAGAAGGGGGAAACUGAGGCAAGGGCAAGGGCAAGGGCAGGGACCUUCCCAGUCAGCACAAACUACCUACCCCAGUCAGCUUUGCUGCCCAGACUGCCUCAUCCACUUUGCCCCCCUUCCCACCCACAGGCUGCCUGAGGGCCUGUUCUCUGGGAACCAGCAAGGAGCACAUUUCCCAACACAGGAAAUGCCGGUGGCUGUUGGCUCUGGCCCCAGCCUUUUCUCUGCUCCCGGCCUUUUUGGAUUCCUGGAAUCCUUUGGGGGUCAGAGUCUCAUUCAAAGAGCAGGAUUCUGAUCCCUGCCCUGCUUCAGCACCCAAAUCUUUAGGGAGCUGGUUGGUGGGAUGCCAGGCCAGACAGGCCUUUGGAGGGAUGUUGUCAAUCUCUCUAGGAGGUCAUGGUUUCCGGCAUGCUGGGAAGGGCCCCAUUCCCUCAUCCCCACCCCCGACUCUGUAGUGACUUUAACAUCCCAAGACAGGUCUCUCUGCCUGUCUUUAUGCUCCUCUCUUUUCCUUACCUUCAGCACUGAGGAGUUUCCGGUCCCGGUAUAGAUCAGUGAGGAAGAGACUAUUGACAAGAGUGGAUUUACCCAGGCCAGACUCUCCUGACAGGAGAGAGGACAGAGGCACCAAAUCAGAAGAUGCAAAACCACACCAGAAUCUGGCCCUGGACCCCAGGAGAGAAGAAAAAACCUACCAGUGGAUGCUGAAUAUGGACAGAGGGCAGCCAAGAGGGACCAAGUGAGAGGUUGGGAGGACAUUGGAAGAGCCUGGAAGGAUGGCUGGACCUCUAAGACUGCUGACGGCCCCCAAAUGAGAGGAACAUCUAGGGAAACCCCUCAGUAGUCACAGUGUGGUGGUAGGCAGAGAAUGGAGUGGCUCCUCUAUAGAAGCCAGUUCCACUCCACCCCCAGCUUGGGAGAUGGGCAGCUCCCCCUCAGCUCUAGACCCUAUAUCUUCCCCUCUCUCCUUUGGGGGUCAACGUCCUUUGUGGAGUGCCUGGCAGUGCUGGGCUCAGCUCUGCCUCACAACACCCACGUGCCACCCCCAGACAAUGGACAACGGCCGGCUGCAGAAGCUGACUCACCCUCUGGGGGUUGGCCAAGCCAAGGGGGCUACCCUGGACCACUGUGGAGUCCCAGGCAAAGUGAAGGAGAUAAGAUGGUCAGAGUCUUCCUGCAUAGCUCCAUUUUACAAAGGGAUGAAAUGAAAGAGGCAGAUGUGCACACUGUCAGUUUAUGCCAGACAGAAAGGACUAGGAAAGGGAAGCUGGAAGGAAAAGUCUCCUAAGAGUUAACUUUCAGGCGUCACCUCUCAUCCCCAUACCUGCUGAUAACAAACUUUGGAGCGUGCCUGGACAGAAGGGUGGAAAGAGACCCUUUAGCCUGAAACUAGAACUGGCAUGUGGAGGUUUAGUGAUCACAAGAGGCAAUCCUAAGGCAGGCCUGAUAUUUAUGAGAUCUGUUGGGUUAACUAUACAACCCCUUAUAUGCUUAUUGGUCUCGCAUAAUGAUUUAAUUGUGUCCCUUUUCACUCUCAAAAUUAUCCCAGCUUGAACAAUUAAUGAUACAGCAACAGAGAAGGAAUGGGGCUUGAGGGAUAGCAUGUCCUGUUGUCUGGCAGCUAAUGAGUCUGGGGAAUUCCAGGAAACGUUGUCUUUCUACACAGCCCCACAGUGCCCUAGCAGUUGGUCUGGGGAUUGGCUAAGGAUGGGAGAGAGAACUCUGCUCAGUGGGUACUGAGCAGAGGGGCAACAGAAAAGGGAAAAGGGAAGGUGCUGAUGGAGAGCCCUGUCCCCCCACAAUCUUCCAGCAGAGACACCAGGAACUCGGCACUGUCCUCUCUGACAGCCUUGGCUAUGCUUCAGCAUGGAGGAAGCCAAAGGGCUCUAGCCAAAGAGUCACAACACUAGGAUCCUCACCUCCCAUCUGUCCACACCCCCCAACUCUGCCACUGAAUUUGAGCAUUACUCCCAGUUAAGGCAGAGGGAAGUCAAGUCAGGUCCACCCAACUCCCAGAGCAGCAUCUUACCCCAGCUUCAGUCCCAUCCUCAGGGACAGAAUUCCCUUGCCAUCCCAGUGAACGGUCCAUGCCCCACACUUCAGACUCCCUGUCAGCAAGCUCUAGGUCUAAUUUUAUCUCCCAGGCAAAGUUCCUCACACACAGAAACAGCCUUGUCUUGAUGCUCUUGUUGUCAUCUGGCUUCCGGACUUGCUCCUUUCCCUUUUUCUUUGACCUCCCUCUGUCUCUGGCAGGGGCCAAAAAAGUCUGUGGAAUGUCCUACCCCACUCCCUCCUCCUCCUCCCCUUCCCUUGGCUCCCACCCUCCAAGGGCAGCUCAGCUGCAGCAGGAUCACUUGGUUCCUCUGCAGUCCCCUCCUCCUCUGAUUGGCUGCCCCAUGACGCCUGCUCGCUGACUGCCCUGGUGGGCACAGCACCAACCUCCCAAGUCUAUCUGCAGCACAGACUCUUGAUCCACUUGGCCUCUUCUGUUAACCCCCAAGGACCGUGAUGCUUGCCUGAAGACUAUGAACUGUCCCCCAAGGUGACCUGACCCACCAGUACACCCAGGACAGUCACCCAGGAAACCUAUUCCCAACUCCACCCCCCAUCUCUCACCUUAAGCAGUGCUGAAGUAGGGUAGAAUAUCCAAUGAUCCUCUGAGUAUAAGUUCCAGGGGUCUUCCCAAGUGUUCCUUUGUUUUCUCCCAGCAGGAGAAAUUGCUAUCCCACUGUCUUAGAAAAUGUGCUCCUAGAUUUGCCUGCAGAGAAUCUCAGCCACAGAAGCAGCUUGGCUCCAGGGACUCUGACUACCCUAGUAUACCUGACCUCUCACUUAGGAGGAUGGGUAUCAAUUCUAUCAUCCCAUCAUUCUCACAAAAUGAGAGAGCUGCUAGCACUUGGUCUCUGAGGGGUAUGGGUUCAAGCAUAUGGGAAACUGACAUUCCAGAGGCUCAAGAGCUGCCAUUUAGGUGGGAGAUGAAUUGAGGGGUCUGGGUGGCAGUGUACAAAUGGAGCACUCCACUAGGAGUCAGAAGGCCAGUGUUUCUGGUUGGGCUGGAAACACCCCCUUGUGAGUCUUAAUAGUGUCUUUAAUUUCAGGGUCUUAAUGUCCAACUGUGAAUGGCCCUUCCUUGCCUCCCAGGGAGACUGGGGAGAGAAAUCAUUCUGAGAUACCUCAAGCUGCUUUGAACCUGAGAGAAGUAGUACUCACGUCCCAGUAUAGUCAUUAAUGUUGAUCUGUCAUUCUUUUCACAUGUAAAUGUAAAUUCCCUGGGGCUGCUGGGCUGGGGAGUUCUCUACACUGAUUCCCAAAGCAGCUAGGACACCAUCCUCCUUUCACAAGGAGACCCUCAUAGAGGACUGUGGCCUGACAUGAACCAGUAGUCAGCCUAAGGACUUGGCUAGCUUAAGGGCAGGGGCCUGAGACUGGAGACUUUGUUGGUGGUGGUGUCUCUAAUUAGAAAAGAACAGGGUGGCCUCAGCCAAACUGAAAGCACCAAGACCUUAGCUGAACUGAACUUGGUGUGUAACAGAAAAAGUCCCUCUGGUCCCUGCUGGGCUUGGCACUGGGGAUAAACAGUGUCUCCCCAGGCUUCCAUCCCUGGAACAAUCAGCCUGUCCAUCCCCCAGUGGGGAAAAGGAGUAGAGCCAGGAUCAGGACAGGCACCACUUAGCCUUUCCAAGGAACCCUCUUUGGGGAAGGUUAUAGGGUCACCAAGACUUCCUGUCCAAGCCUUGGGCCUCCGCCUGGACACAGCUUGAGAGACAAGAGCCCAAAAGGUUGGCCUUUCUAAACCUGAAAGCUUCUGAUUCCACAGGAUGCAGGGAGUUUCCCUCUGGUGGCUGCCCUCAGCCAACAUCCUGCCCCACAGGGUGGUCAAGAAUCCUCUCCUGCUGUAAACAGCUUGUGCCUCCCAAAGCAGAGGGCAAAGACUGGGAGGCUUCCAGACUGGGAAAGAUGGAUGUGGCCUGGAGGCCCAGACACGCACAGGCUGUGUUUGUGGCAGGUUCUGGCAACAAUGUCAAGAAAAGAGCUGGCUUUCUCACAACCAAGCAUCAAAACCUCCUACCUGGGAACCUCUAAGAAGGCUGGCUGGGGUUACUGCUUCUCUUCCCACUACAGGCAGGUGGCAGGAAUGAGUCCCCCCCAACCCCCACACACUGCAGAAGGACCUAGUUGGGGAGGGGGUGGGGGUAGGUGCAGCGGAGGAAGCUUCCCCACUGUUCCUGUCUGGGAGGCAAAUGAUACAGCUGAUCCCACCCCACGGGAUGGUGGGGUGGGCUUUCCUCUCAGGUGUUCAGGUGUUUCUUUGAGAAAGGGGCUGCCAGGUUUUGGAAAGGAGGGACCAAGAGUCUCACCAUCCCUUUUAGGAUGCUGGCAGUUUUGUGGAUCUCCUCUAUGUUUUCCAAAGGAAGUUGGUGCUAGCUUCUGCGCUCCCGGUAGAUGAGUGAGGAAGGAUCAUCUAGGUAACAGAUGACUCAGGCAAGGGCGGAGACCCUCACCACCCUCAUCGCUGACGCGCCUUCCCCAGAACAACAUGCUGGUCUCUAUCGCGGGCAUCUCCCACAACACAGACCCACUCCUUCCUCUAAGACCAAGGGCAACUCGUCGGGGGUCGCGGCCUGUUUGGUAGCUGCUUGGCUUGGGGGGAGAAACUUGGGAACGGCGACGCAGCGCCACCCGCUAACAGUGCCUGCCCGAGCCUGGAGCUGGCGACAGCUCCUCUCGCCCCGCACAGCCCAGGCUGCAGCGCCGCGGGUCUCCUCGGAGCCGCCCGGGAGCGGCGGGCCCUGAGCGCCCUGGCCCUGCCCUGCACCCGCCGGUCUUACCAUGGCUGCAGCCCGGGCCGGGCCGGCUCCGCCUGGACAGCGCCCGAGCGACCCGCGGAUGGAGCUGCGCGCGGACCUCACCGCACCGCCUGCCCCCACUUGCCUCCCCGAGUCCCGACCGCUUGGGGCGGGGCGAGUCAGCGGGGGCGGGGCGAGUCGGGCCCCGGGAGGGGCCUGCACCUCAGCGGUGGGUGCCCGCGCGAACGAGGCUUGGGGCGCCAGCCAUCCCCUGAAGCAUAGAGCAGGGUGGAGGCCUCUGCUCCUUGACCCUGGGCUACAUUGGCUACCUGGCUUUUUCUUAAUCCUUGGAGUGGCUUCUUUGGACAGCUCAGGACCCCGGGAAUUUAAACCAGUACCCAAAAAGAAAGCAACAACCACCUAGCAUCCCUAGAAGGAGAUGCCUUUGCAAAGGGAGGAGGAGUUGCCAUAAGAGUUGGAGAGAACAUUUGGUCACCCCAGGGAUUCAUCAAAGUGUUAUGGAAGUUGACUGAUUUCCAAGUUACUGAUUGUCCAUACCCUCACCACACCUCCUAAAGGGGAAUGUCAAAACAUUCUCCAGCUCCAUCCAAGCUGUGGAAAAGACAGGUUAGCAGUAAAUUCCCUUUGUACAGGACCUCAGAUUAGAGAUUAAAGAGGAUUUACUGCAGAAAUUAUCCAGGGAUCAUCUGCUGGAAGGCUAGAAGGGGGAGGCUGAGUGGCUUUAAUAGGGCAUUGGAGCCUUGCCUAGAGCUGAGGAAAGCUGGAAGGGCCUCUGGGGGAGGCCAGCCUAGGCAUGACCCAGGCUCAGCUGGACCAUACUUCCUCUGACAAGCAGGUGAGAUGCUGUAGGACAGAUGCUUCAGCAUCUUUAAAAGCAUUAGAAGCUCAGAAGUGCCAGAGCAACAGCUAGAGAGAGGUACAUGCUUGGAGGUGGGGAGUUGGUGAGGUCCAAAAGCAUCCCCCUCAGACUCCAAAAGCCCUCCUACAAGGACAGGCUGACUGGCCUUUGCCUGUAUUUGUUCUGGACAAAACUGAGCCCCAUAGGUAUGGCGCUCUCUAUGGGUGGAAGUGUCAGAUGCCUGCCUAUCUUAUUUCUAUCUGAUCUGUGAGCUACUGGCCUCAAUUGAGACCAGUCAGUAUUCAGUCAAGGGAGGAACAGCAGAUAAAAUCCGGCUCUGGAAAACAUGGAACUGCUGUAGGAGAUAUGACUGGAUAUUUGGCACUGGUGAACUGGGAGAUUAAGAGAGGUUGUUGCUUAAACACAUCAGAAGCAAAUAUUCAUUAACCAGAAGUUGAGGAGAAAAACUCCUAGUAGUUGGGCAACCAUGAGCACCUCACUUCACCUCUCAGGCUCUUAGUUCCUCCUGAAAAUAAGGGGAAUUAAACUAGAUUAUUUUUAAGUUUCCUUGCAAUUUCUGGCAUUCUAAAAGUAGAUUUAAUGAAGAAGGAGGGUAUGCUGUAGGCCUUGGAGGAAGAAAGCAAGGUAACAGAAGGAGAUACUAAAGAAAACUUGGACUUGAAGAGACUCAGAUGGCUCUGGAAGCAUAGGAAAAUGGGGAUCUACAGCUUGACUCCAGUGAGAAGGGACCUCUGAAGUUCUAGAGAGGCUCCCAGAAAAGGCCUGGGGUAGACCCAGGAGAUCUGAAGCUUACUCAGGAGGACAAAAGACCUAAAGAGAUAAUCAAUGGCUGUUAGAGGUCUGCAGAAGCAGUAGUGGCUACUGCCAUCAGAUCCAACGGUCAUGAGACCCCACUGUUCAAAGCCCUAGUCCCCUAUUACUGAUGCAGGUACAUUUAUCUUGGAUAAAUUCUACUUUUAUGAGUAACUAUAACAUACCAAUUUUUAAAAAUGAAUUAUUAGAAGGAUCAACAGAGGUGAGGCCAGGGAUUGGAGGAGGGAGGAGAAGAGGCAAAGGAGUGGCACCAGGGAUUGAAAUUGAGCAAAUUAUGUUAUAUAAUUUAUUAUUAUAAAUAAUAAUUUAUAGUAUUAUUAAUAAUUUAUAGUAUUAUUUAAUUUAUAAUUAAUAUUAUUAUAUAUAACCCUAUAUUCAUGAAUAUGUUAAAACUGAGCCCCUCAAUUAUGUAAAACUAUAAUGCACAAAAAUAAAAAAGAAGAAUACCUCUUGGGUGCUUCCAA